This 1916-nucleotide long non-coding RNA is filed under the name Olea europaea subsp. europaea. The record is from RNAcentral. Lineage: Eukaryota; Viridiplantae; Streptophyta; Magnoliopsida; Lamiales; Oleaceae.
GAUGAAUAAUCACAAAUGAACUAUUCAAAAGGAUUAAUGUGCUACUCCAGUAUUCUCUGAUACCAGCCCACCACAAAAUAAGUAAAUGGACUCUUAAGGGUCUCUUCCCAUCCUUGAAUUCCAUCCAAAAUAUACUCAAAAAACCUUGAUUAACACACGACAUUUUGUAUACGGUAAAAUAAAUUUUCUAUAGCAUACAAAGAAACACCAAUGUGGUUAACCCCUCUUAAGAGAUGAAUUUAAAGAACAUGAUUAGUUGAAAUAAUGAGCCUCCAUUGGAAACUGGUAAAUACUUUCAAUAUUAAAAAGGUUGUGAUACAAAAUGCUCGAACAAACAAGAUGUGAAAAGGUUUCCUUGGGCCAGGAGGAGAUUGACCUUCGAGUGCAAAGGCCAAAGCGAGCUUGACUGCAAGACCCACCAGUCUUCUGACGCGUUCUUGUCGAGCUGAAAGAGAGGCUGCCUUCCUUUCUUUGCUGAUUGGCAGCCGUGUAAAAUCAGCAAAUUUUCGAAUCAGGACAGUGAAUCUGCAUUCAAAUAACCAGUAAAAUUUUGGAAUUUGGACUGCAGGUUUCAAUGGCAUCAUCAAUCACCAGUUCGUCAAUUUUUUCCCAUUUCUGUCCAAUUUACCGAGAUGUGCCUGAAAACUGCCUUCGGCCUUCCAAGAAAACUCCAGCUAUACUCCCUCAUCAAGUUCCAUCACAUUCUAAUAGGGCUGCCAAAUUCAUAGCUUAUGUACAAUCAAUAUUCACCAGUAUAUGAUGCCUAAUAUCUUGUUUUUCUUAUCCCAGUUCAGAUGGUCAUUUCGAGGAUUAUUUCCCUUUAAUUACUGAAUAAAUUAUCAGUAAUUCAUGCCUAAUUGAGUAACAACUAUUGUUUUCUGGUCAAUUGUAAUUUCCUUUUUCACAAUAUAAAGGAUUGGUGUGGAUGUGAGACAGGCCCAUAUUUCCUGAUUACCCUUCGUCUUACUUUCUAAGAAUCAACUUUCUUGGCCAUCAAGCGGCCACAGAAUCCACCUCCACAGCCACUCAUUUUUCUCUCCCUAUCUGGUUUGUAACAACUACUGUUUUCUGGUAAAUUGUAAUUUCCAUUUUCAAUGUAAAAAGGAAUAUUAUACAUUACCGUUUUAUAUAGAUGAUUUUAACACAUAUCGAAACAAUGAAAAAUAACAGUUGAAACAAUAAUAGAUAAAAAUUACAUUUUUGCUGCAGACAUUCUAUAUAUUACUUGAAAAAGGAAAAAGCUGGUCUUAAGAGAAUUUGCUGUAAAAUGUAGGCGCAUCUGAAUGCACAAUCCCCAGAUGAAAGAAGGCAGUGCCAGAAUCUCAACGCCUAUGCAAUUCUUAUUGGCAACGUACAGCGCUGUAUGCACCAUCGAUAAUUAAGUGCAUCAGUGACUCUAAUUUGUCGCCGUCGAAUUUCCAGAAUAAUUUAUGAAAUGAAAACCAGUAAAAUUGAUGCUUUUGAGAAAAAAAAAAUUAAGACUUAAAGGCUCAUAGAUGAUUUAGAUUGACAUCAACAAGCUCUCAGAAGCUAGUUUGAUGGUAUAAUUUUCAUAAAUCAUCGCCCUUUUCUGUUUAUUAAAACAGAUUUAAGAAUCUAAUGAAAUCGAAUCGAAAAAGAAAAAUAUCAGUAAUUCGAAGCAAAUUACAACGAGAUCUCAGAAAUCAGAAGGUUAAAGACACAUCAGAAAAAUCUCCAGAAAGAUCCUUAUAUAAUUCCGACGAUUCUCUGUUCAUCGCCCGAGAAAAAGAGAGGAAGGUGGCUGGGCAUUCGAAAGCAUACAGCCUCGAAUAUAUAGAGUCAGAGGAGGGAUCAAUGUUGACAAUAAAACCCUAAUUUAGCUACAAUUACUUUGAAAGUUGACAUUGCUUUUCAAUUUGAGCAAUAUUAUUUGCAGUUGAUUACUGUCGUAGUCG